GGGUCCGUGCCCGAGCGUUUAGGGGCCACCUUGAUAGGGUGCAAUACAGGGGUUGAAUUCCCCUCGGGCCCU
RNAcentral lists this transfer RNA (72 nucleotides) under Trachinocephalus myops (snakefish). Its description in RNAcentral is "tRNA-Ile". The record is from RNAcentral. Lineage: Eukaryota; Metazoa; Chordata; Actinopteri; Aulopiformes; Synodontidae.